Molecule: non-coding RNA, 31 nt
Filed under: Homo sapiens (human)
Lineage: Eukaryota; Metazoa; Chordata; Mammalia; Primates; Hominidae
Source: RNAcentral
CAGACAGUGGAAGUGCUCGUGUCCCAAGGGC